Molecule: long non-coding RNA, 567 nt
Filed under: Ictidomys tridecemlineatus (thirteen-lined ground squirrel)
Lineage: Eukaryota; Metazoa; Chordata; Mammalia; Rodentia; Sciuridae
Description: lncRNA (ENSSTOG00000032663.1)
Source: RNAcentral
UUAAUGACCCACAUUUCUUAAUUUAAAAUAACAUCCAACCUGUUUUCCAGGAGUCUGGAUCAGUGUUGUGCUGGGGAAUGUUUCCCUCUCACGGCUUCUCCCUUCUUCUUGCUGCUCAGUUUGUUUCUGGGGACCUGUGCAAUGCUGGUGAAAGAGACGGGAAUCACCGUGUUUGGAGUGUGCUUGGUUUAUGACCUCUUCUCCCUCUCCCACAACCAUACAUGACGAGCAACGGGGUCAUCCAUCAGCAUGGCCUACAGCAGCCUGGGAGCCCCCAGCCCUCCUCACUGGCAGCCCACUCCCACCGGGAGAACGGGAAGCAGCGGUUCCCUCACAAGGGAGUGUGGGGUGGCUGCCAUUCCUCACUUCCACCAGCACCCAAGAGCAGUGGAUUCCCGGUGUCACCGCGAGCUGUGUGGUCCCUGAUGAGUGCAUUCCUCUCUUUGUUCAACUUGUUUUGGAGAGAUUAACUCGAGGAGUCAAAACUAGUGAACUCCGUACGAUGUGUCUUCAGGUUGCAAUUGCUGCCUUGUACUAUAACCCUGAUUUGCUGCUACAUACUUUCGA